Molecule: long non-coding RNA, 492 nt
Filed under: Coffea arabica (coffee)
Lineage: Eukaryota; Viridiplantae; Streptophyta; Magnoliopsida; Gentianales; Rubiaceae
Description: long non-coding RNA (CARA_LNC002065)
Source: RNAcentral
UAGCCGAGCAUCAUCUAGAGAAGGCAUCUGAUGAUGUUCGUAAAAGAACUGAGGCAGCAGUGCUAGAUGUUCUUGAAUAUGAAGUUGCCUUUUGGAACAUGAGCCAAGGGGAUACCUGAAUGCUUUGGGUUGAUAUCUCUCCCAGUGCCUGGGCAUGUUAGACAAUGUGGGUGAUGCACCUUUGAGUGACUCUAGCAGGAUUGUGUGUAUUAACGUUUAAUAAAUUGCCUAGAGUUUGAUUUUCUACAUUAACGUCUAAUAAAUUGCCCAGAGUUUGAUUUUCUACACAUCUUGAUUUCAGUAUCCUCCAGUAUCUGUAGAACUAAGUCUGCGCAUUGUCAUUUUCUGCUGCUAUCCAUCUAAAGAUGACUGUUAUCCAAGUUAGGAGGGCUUCUGCCUCUGAUUAGUGAUGCAAAUUAAUUCCUUUCUUCCAACAUCGAACCAGCCAUUGCAUUUAGAAAGAAUAUCUACACCGCUCAACUUCGGCUGCAC